CGGGGCGUGGCUCAGUUUGGCUAGAGCACUUGAAUGGGGUUCAAGAGGUCACAGGUUCAAGUCCUGUCGCCCCGA
Molecule: non-coding RNA, 75 nt
Organism: Omnitrophica WOR_2 bacterium GWB2_45_9
Lineage: Bacteria; Pseudomonadati; Candidatus Omnitrophota
Source: Rfam